UAGCCGAAUCCGAAAUUGCCCUCAAGUCCU
Molecule: non-coding RNA, 30 nt
Filed under: Mus musculus (house mouse)
Lineage: Eukaryota; Metazoa; Chordata; Mammalia; Rodentia; Muridae
Source: RNAcentral